This 241-nucleotide ribosomal RNA is filed under the name uncultured bacterium. RNAcentral's name for it is "partial 16S ribosomal RNA". It matches the Rfam family "Bacterial small subunit ribosomal RNA", at positions 96 to 334 of the family's 1533-position model. The record is from RNAcentral.
CGGCGAACGGUCGCGUAACACGUAAGCAACCUGCCCCAAAGACCGGGACAACGUUCCGAAAGGAGCGCUAAUACCGGAUGUGCCCGCGAGAAGACCUCUUCUUGUGAGUAAAGCGGGAAAUCGGCUUUGGGAGGGGCUUGCGGCCUAUCAGCUAGAUGGUGGGGUAACGGCCUACCAUGGCGACGACGGGUAGCUGGUCUGAGAGGAUGGUCAGCCGGAUUGGGACUGAGAUACGGCCCAG